CCUACGGGAGGCAGCAGUAAGGAAUCUUCCACAAUGGACGAAAGUCUGAUGGAGCAACGCCGCGUGCAGGAUGAAGGCUUUCGGGUCGUAAACUGCUUUUAUAUGGGAAGAUUAUGACGGUACCAUAUGAAUAAGGACCGGCUAACUACGUGCCAGCAGCCGCGGUAAUACGUAGGGUCCAAGCGAUAUCCGGAAUUACUGGGCGUAAAGCGUGUGUAGGUGGAUUAAUAAGUGUGAUGCGAAAUCCGGCGGCUCAACCGUUUGGACUGUGUCGCAUACUGUUAGUCUAGAGGACGGCAGAGGUAAGUGGAAUUACGGGUGUAGCAGUGAAAUGCGUAGAUAUCCGUAGGAACACCAAUGGCGAAGGCAGCUUACUGGGCCACACCUGACACUGAGACACGAGAGCGUGGGGAGCGAACAGGAUUAGAUACCCUGGUAGUCCACGCCGUAAACGAUGCAUACUAUUAGUAUGGGGUAUCGACCCCCUGUGCUGAGAAGCUAACGCGAUAAGUAUGCCGCCUGGGGAGUACGAGCGCAAGCUUAAAACNCAAAUGAUAGAGCGNGAGAGNGCGACGACGACGACGAGGGAGGAGG
Molecule: ribosomal RNA, 594 nt
Filed under: uncultured bacterium
Lineage: Bacteria
Description: bacterial SSU rRNA
Rfam family: Bacterial small subunit ribosomal RNA
Source: RNAcentral